UACAGAGGUCCCAAGCGUUUGUUCGGAUUCACUGGGCGUAAAGGGUGCGUAGGUGGUCGGGUAAGUUUGAUGUGAAAGCUCCGAGCUUAACUCGGAAAUUGCAUUGAAUACUAUUCGGCUAGAGGGUUGGAGGGGGGGACUGGAAUUCUCGGUGUAGCAGUGAAAUCGUAGAUAUCGAGAGGAACACCAGUGGCGAAGGCGAGUCCCCUGGACAACUCCUGACACUGAGGCACGAAAAGCUGGGGGAGCAAAACAGGA
Molecule: ribosomal RNA, 258 nt
Filed under: uncultured bacterium
Lineage: Bacteria
Description: partial 16S ribosomal RNA
Rfam family: Bacterial small subunit ribosomal RNA
Source: RNAcentral